RNAcentral lists this RNase P RNA (425 nucleotides) under Halohasta litchfieldiae. RNAcentral describes it as "Archaeal RNase P". It matches the Rfam family "Archaeal RNase P". Rfam says of the family: Ribonuclease P (RNase P) is a ubiquitous endoribonuclease, found in archaea, bacteria and eukarya as well as chloroplasts and mitochondria. Lineage: Archaea; Methanobacteriati; Methanobacteriota; Halobacteria; Halobacteriales; Haloferacaceae. The record is from RNAcentral.
GUUCGGAGCAGUUUCGUCGGCCAUGAGGAAAGUCCCCCCACCGUUCGGACAGGUGACCGGGCACAAGCCCGGAGUCGGAGACGACUGGCUCUGAAACAGAAACGAGACCACCUGCCCCGACCAAUGAAGCGCGUGCGGCCGCCGCUGGUGGCCGACGUCGCCCGCGGCCUCGCCGCGAGCGAGCGAACCAACCCGUAAGGGAAGGGAGUUAACCCGCAGAGGGAGCGUGGUGCGUAGCACCAUGAUUAUAAUAUUGACGGGCAGGAACGGAUGGAACGGUGAAUCCUCACCGGUGCAAGUCCGCGUCAGACGGUCGGUCCCCGUCCGCAGCAGGUGGAUGGUCGACCGUCGAGGUAGUCCGAACACGACGACGGACGCUCAGCCGAAUGUCGGGUCGAAACAGAAGGGGGCUUACUCCUCUCAGC